GCACAUGUAACAACAAACUCAACAAAAGGUGAAGUUCUUAUUUAUUGGAUUGGCCUAGAAGCCAAAUAUUUAUUUUACAAUAAACUCGGAAAACACUCAUUAUUGGGUGAAAGCAAUGGAAAUUCUAAAGCAAAAGACAGAAGAUGGUAGCUCCAUAUGGCAUCAGCAGAAAGUAAAAGUAUACUUAAUUCAUUCGGGUAUUGCAUCUUUUAGAUACUGGUCAACAAUUACGUGAAUAGGCUGAGCAUGGUGGUGCUGGAGAUGUUGGUGGCGUUGGUGCUCUCGAUGGAAUGCACUUUCUAUAACCCUGACCGGGAGAACACUUAACAGCAGGCUUAUUAGGGUCUCCUGUCUGAAAUGAACCU
This 365-nucleotide long non-coding RNA is filed under the name Vigna radiata. RNAcentral's name for it is "long non-coding RNA (VRAD_LNC002978)". Lineage: Eukaryota; Viridiplantae; Streptophyta; Magnoliopsida; Fabales; Fabaceae. The record is from RNAcentral.